GGUUAAGCGACUAAGCGUACACGGUGGAUGCCCUGGCAGUCAGAGGCGAUGAAGGACGUGCUAAUCUGCGAAAAGCGUCGGUAAGGUGAUAUGAACCGUUAUAACCGGCGAUGUCCGAAUGGGGAAACCCAGUGCAAUUCGUUGCACUAUCGUUAACUGAAUACAUAGGUUAACGAGGCGAACCGGGGGAACUGAAACAUCUAAGUACCCCGAGGAAAAGAAAUCAACCGAGAUUCCCCCAGUAGCGGCGAGCGAACGGGGAGCAGCCCAGAGUCUGAAUCAGCUUGUGUGUUAGUGGAACGGUCUGGAAAGUCCGACGGUACAGGGUGAUAGUCCCGUACACCAAAAUGCACAGGUUGUGAACUCGAAGAGUAGGGCGGGACACGUGGUAUCCUGUCUGAAUAUGGGGGGACCAUCCUCCAAGGCUAAAUACUCCUGACUGACCGAUAGUGAACCAGUACCGUGAGGGAAAGGCGAAAAGAACCCCGGCGAGGGGAGUGAAAAAGAACCUGAAACCGUGUACGUACAAGCAGUGGGAGCACCUUCGGGUGUGACUGCGUACCUUUUGUAUAAUGGGUCAGCGACUUAUAUUCUGUAGCAAGGUUAACCGUAUAGGGGAGCCGCAGGGAAACCGAGUCUUAACUGGGCGUUAAGUUGCAGGGUAUAGACCCGAAACCCGGUGAUCUAGCCAUGGGCAGGUUGAAGGUUGGGUAACACUAACUGGAGGACCGAACCGACUAAUGUUGAAAAAUUAGCGGAUGACUUGUGGCUGGGGGUGAAAGGCCAAUCAAACCGGGAGAUAGCUGGUUCUCCCCGAAAGCUAUUUAGGUAGCGCCUCGUGAACUCAUCUUCGGGGGUAGAGCACUGUUUCGGCUAGGGGGUCAUCCCGACUUACCAACCCGAUGCAAACUACGAAUACCGAAGAAUGUUAUCACGGGAGACACACGGCGGGUGCUAACGUCCGUCGUGAAGAGGGAAACAACCCAGACCGCCAGCUAAGGUCCCAAAGUCAUGGUUAAGUGGGAAACGAUGUGGGAAGGCACAGACAGCCAGGAUGUUGGCUUAGAAGCAGCCAUCAUUUAAAGAAAGCGUAAUAGCUCACUGGUCGAGUCGGCCUGCGCGGAAGAUGUAACGGGGCUAAACCAUGCACCGAAGCUGCGGCAGCGACACUAUGUGUUGUUGGGUAGGGGAGCGUUCUGUAAGCCUGCGAAGGUGUGCUGUGAGGCAUGCUGGAGGUAUCAGAAGUGCGAAUGCUGACAUAAGUAACGAUAAAGCGGGUGAAAAGCCCGCUCGCCGGAAGACCAAGGGUUCCUGUCCAACGUUAAUCGGGGCAGGGUGAGUCGACCCCUAAGGCGAGGCCGAAAGGCGUAGUCGAUGGGAAACAGGUUAAUAUUCCUGUACUUGGUGUUACUGCGAAGGGGGACGGAGAAGGCUAUGUUAGCCGGGCGACGGUUGUCCCGGUUUAAGCAUGUAGGCUGGUUGUCCAGGCAAAUCCGGAUAAUCAAGGCUGAGGUGUGAUGACGAGGCACUACGGUGCUGAAGUAACAAAUGCCCUGCUUCCAGGAAAAGCCUCUAAGCAUCAGGUAACAUCAAAUCGUACCCCAAACCGACACAGGUGGUCAGGUAGAGAAUACCAAGGCGCUUGAGAGAACUCGGGUGAAGGAACUAGGCAAAAUGGUGCCGUAACUUCGGGAGAAGGCACGCUGGUGUGUAGGUGAAGCCCCUGCGGGUGGAGCUGAGACCAGUCGAAGAUACCAGCUGGCUGCAACUGUUUAUUAAAAACACAGCACUGUGCAAACACGAAAGUGGACGUAUACGGUGUGACGCCUGCCCGGUGCCGGAAGGUUAAUUGAUGGGGUUAUCCGUAAGGAGAAGCUCUUGAUCGAAGCCCCGGUAAACGGCGGCCGUAACUAUAACGGUCCUAAGGUAGCGAAAUUCCUUGUCGGGUAAGUUCCGACCUGCACGAAUGGCGUAAUGAUGGCCAGGCUGUCUCCACCCGAGACUCAGUGAAAUUGAACUCGCUGUGAAGAUGCAGUGUACCCGCGGCAAGACGGAAAGACCCCGUGAACCUUUACUAUAGCUUGACACUGAACAUUGAGCCUUGAUGUGUAGGAUAGGUGGGAGGCUUUGAAGCGUGGACGCCAGUCUGCGUGGAGCCAACCUUGAAAUACCACCCUUUAAUGUUUGAUGUUCUAACGUUGGCCCCUUACCGGGGUUGCGGACAGUGUCUGGUGGGUAGUUUGACUGGGGCGGUCUCCUCCCAAAGCGUAACGGAGGAGCACGAAGGUUAGCUAAUCCUGGUCGGACAUCAGGAGGUUAGUGCAAUGGCAUAAGCUAGCUUGACUGCGAGCGUGACGGCGCGAGCAGGUGCGAAAGCAGGUCAUAGUGAUCCGGUGGUUCUGAAUGGAAGGGCCAUCGCUCAACGGAUAAAAGGUACUCCGGGGAUAACAGGCUGAUACCGCCCAAGAGUUCAUAUCGACGGCGGUGUUUGGCACCUCGAUGUCGGCUCAUCACAUCCUGGGGCUGAAGUAGGUCCCAAGGGUAUGGCUGUUCGCCAUUUAAAGUGGUACGCGAGCUGGGUUUAGAACGUCGUGAGACAGUUCGGUCCCUAUCUGCCGUGGGCGCUGGAGAAUUGAGGGGGCUGCUCCUAGUACGAGAGGACCGGAGUGGACGCAUCACUGGUGUUCGGGUUGUCAUGCCAAUGGCACUGCCCGGUAGCUAAAUGCGGAAGAGAUAAGUGCUGAAAGCAUCUAAGCACGAAACUUGCCCCGAGAUGAGUUCUCCCUGAGACUUUAAGUCUCCUGAAGGAACGUUGAAGACGACGACGUUGAUAGGCCGGGUGUGUAAGCGCAGCGAUGCGUUGAGCUAACCGGUACUAAUGAACCGUGAGGCUUAACCUU
This 2900-nucleotide ribosomal RNA is filed under the name Klebsiella pneumoniae. Its description in RNAcentral is "23S ribosomal RNA". It matches the Rfam family "Bacterial large subunit ribosomal RNA". The record is from RNAcentral. Lineage: Bacteria; Pseudomonadati; Pseudomonadota; Gammaproteobacteria; Enterobacterales; Enterobacteriaceae.